This 1121-nucleotide ribosomal RNA is filed under the name Bifidobacterium breve. RNAcentral's name for it is "bacterial SSU rRNA". It matches the Rfam family "Bacterial small subunit ribosomal RNA", at positions 32 to 1163 of the family's 1533-position model. The record is from RNAcentral. Lineage: Bacteria; Bacillati; Actinomycetota; Actinomycetes; Bifidobacteriales; Bifidobacteriaceae.
AAGGCCGGGGGGCGUGCUUACACAUGCAAGUCGAACGGGAUCCAUCGGGCUUUGCUUGGUGGUGAGAGUGGCGAACGGGUGAGUAAUGCGUGACCGACCUGCCCCAUGCACCGGAAUAGCUCCUGGAAACGGGUGGUAAUGCCGGAUGCUCCAUCACACCGCAUGGUGUGUUGGGAAAGCCUUUGCGGCAUGGGAUGGGGUCGCGUCCUAUCAGCUUGAUGGCGGGGUAACGGCCCACCAUGGCUUCGACGGGUAGCCGGCCUGAGAGGGCGACCGGCCACAUUGGGACUGAGAUACGGCCCAGACUCCUACGGGAGGCAGCAGUGGGGAAUAUUGCACAAUGGGCGCAAGCCUGAUGCAGCGACGCCGCGUGAGGGAUGGAGGCCUUCGGGUUGUAAACCUCUUUUGUUAGGGAGCAAGGCACUUUGUGUUGAGUGUACCUUUCGAAUAAGCACCGGCUAACUACGUGCCAGCAGCCGCGGUAAUACGUAGGGUGCAAGCGUUAUCCGGAAUUAUUGGGCGUAAAGGGCUCGUAGGCGGUUCGUCGCGUCCGGUGUGAAAGUCCAUCGCUUAACGGUGGAUCCGCGCCGGGUACGGGCGGGCUUGAGUGCGGUAGGGGAGACUGGAAUUCCCGGUGUAACGGUGGAAUGUGUAGAUAUCGGGAAGAACACCAAUGGCGAAGGCAGGUCUCUGGGCCGUUACUGACGCUGAGGAGCGAAAGCGUGGGGAGCGAACAGGAUUAGAUACCCUGGUAGUCCACGCCGUAAACGGUGGAUGCUGGAUGUGGGGCCCGUUCCACGGGUUCCGUGUCGGAGCUAACGCGUUAAGCAUCCCGCCUGGGGAGUACGGCCGCAAGGCUAAAACUCAAAGAAAUUGACGGGGGCCCGCACAAGCGGCGGAGCAUGCGGAUUAAUUCGAUGCAACGCGAAGAACCUUACCUGGGCUUGACAUGUUCCCGACGAUCCCAGAGAUGGGGUAUCCCUUCGGGGCGGGUUCACAGGUGUGCAUGUCGUCGUCAGCUCGUGUCGUGAGAUGUUGGUUAAGUCCGCAACGAGCGCAACCUCGUCCCGUGUUGCCAGCGGAUUGGUGCCGGGAACUCACGGGGACCGUCGGGGUUAACU